ACGGGUGAGUAAUACAUCGGAACGUAUCCUGGAGUGGGGGAUAGCCCGGCGAAAGCCGGAUUAAUACCGCAUACGCUCUGAGGAGGAAAGCGGGGGACCUUCGGGCCUCGCGCUCAAGGGGCGGCCGAUGGCGGAUUGGGUAGUUGGUGGGGUAAAGGCCUACCAAGCCGACGAUCCGUAGCUGGUCUGAGAGGACGACCAGCCACACUGGGACUGAGACACGGCCCAGACUCCUACGGGAGGCAGCAGUGGGGAAUUUUGGACAAUGGGGGCAACCCUGAUCCAGCAAUGCCGCGUGUGUGAAGAAGGCCUUCGGGUUGUAAAGCACUUUUGUCCGGAAAGAAAUCAUCGGGGCCAAUACCCCUGGUGGAUGACGGUACCGGAAGAAUAAGCACCGGCUAACUACGUGCCAGCAGCCGCGGUAAUACGUAGGGUGCGAGCGUUAAUCGGAAUUACUGGGCGUAAAGCGUGCGCAGGCGGUGCUGUAAGACCGAUGUGAAAUCCCCGGGCUUAACCUGGGAACUGCAUUGGUGACUGCAGCGCUGGAGUAUGGCAGAGGGGGGUGGAAUUCCACGU
This 576-nucleotide ribosomal RNA is filed under the name uncultured bacterium. Its description in RNAcentral is "bacterial SSU rRNA". It matches the Rfam family "Bacterial small subunit ribosomal RNA", at positions 102 to 674 of the family's 1533-position model. The record is from RNAcentral.